This 247-nucleotide unclassified non-coding RNA is filed under the name uncultured Pleosporales. RNAcentral describes it as "sequence contains ITS2". Lineage: Eukaryota; Fungi; Ascomycota; Dothideomycetes; Pleosporales. The record is from RNAcentral.
AACGCACAUUGCGCCCCUUGGUAUUCCAUGGGGCAUGCCUGUUCGAGCGUCAUUUGUACCCUCAAGCUUUGCUUGGUGUUGGGCGUCUUGUCUCCCUUUUGGGAGACUCGCCUCAAAACAAUUGGCAGCCGGCAUAUUGGUAUCGGAGCGCAGCACAAGUCGCGCUUCUUUCCAUGAAUGUCAGCAUCCAUCAAGACCAUUUUUCACUCUUGACCUCGGAUCAGGUAGGGAUACCCGCUGAACUUAA